GACGUAGGGCGCGAGCGUUGUCCGGAUUUAUUGGGCGUAAAGAGCUCGUAGGCGGUUUGUCGCGUCGUUCGUGAAAACUCACAGCUUAACUGUGAGCUUGCGGUCGAUACGGGCAGGCUAGAGUUCGGUAGGGGAGACUGGAAUUCCUGGUGUAGCGGUGAAAUGCGCAGAUAUCAGGAGGAACACCGAUGGCGAAGGCAGAUCUCUGGGCCGUAACUGACGCUGAGGAGCGAAAGCAUGGGGAGCGAACAGG
This 253-nucleotide ribosomal RNA is filed under the name uncultured bacterium. RNAcentral's name for it is "partial 16S ribosomal RNA". It matches the Rfam family "Bacterial small subunit ribosomal RNA", at positions 524 to 776 of the family's 1533-position model. The record is from RNAcentral.